RNAcentral lists this ribosomal RNA (301 nucleotides) under uncultured bacterium. RNAcentral's name for it is "partial 16S ribosomal RNA". It matches the Rfam family "Bacterial small subunit ribosomal RNA", at positions 509 to 809 of the family's 1533-position model. The record is from RNAcentral.
CAGCCGCCACGGUAAUACGUAGGGUGCAAGCGUUAAUCGGAAUUACUGGGCGUAAAGCGUGCGCAGGCGGUUAUAUAAGACAGAUGUGAAAUCCCCGGGCUCAACCUGGGAACUGCAUUUGUGACUGUAUAGCUAGAGUACGGCAGAGGGGGAUGGAAUUCCGCGUGUAGCAGUGAAAUGCGUAGAUAUGCGGAGGAACACCGAUGGCGAAGGCAAUCCCCUGGGCCUGUACUGACGCUCAUGCACGAAAGCGUGGGGAGCAAACAGGAUUAGAUACCCCUGUAGUCCCUGUCUCUUAUAA